UGAGUGCUCCGUUGGGUUCAUCUCCCACACAUGGGAACCUGACAAGGGAUCAGCUAAAUGAUCGGGUUUUGGACGUCCACUCUAAAAUGCCCGCAUUGCACGAGUCCACCGGGCUGAGGCCCCUGUGUUGGAGGUGACACUUUGGUGUUGGACUGUGUCCAAGGGGGAUCAGGGGAUUAACCAAGAAAGGCUACCAAGAUCGUCUGAUGUUCCCACAUGGAUCCACUGUGACGCACCACCAUGGUGGCAGAUGUGCAUUGGCAUUCGGCUGACUGACAUAUGGAGAAAUCGUGCACACAUCGCAAGCACAUGGACUUCGGCCGCCAUUCCCAAGGCGUACGAACAGUCGGUGGACAUUUGGGACAGGCCAGCCAGUAUCAAAUGUUUUGGAUGGUGCUGUCACUUAGACAUGGAGACAUUGCACACAAACUCAUCUCAGGGUCCAUCGAGGACAUUUGAGAAUGCAUUUUGGAUUUUUUCUUUGGACUCUAUAUGCAAUGGCAUCAAGGCAGUACAUGAGUUCUUGCCAUGUUUGGCUCAGCAUGUUUGCAUUCACCAGUACACAUGCAGCUCUCCUCUGAGAAUGAAGAUCCAGCAGGUUUGCAACCUUGGUGUUGUAGACAAUAUCUUUGACAAACCCCCACAGAAAAUAAAAAUCAAGGGGGUUAUGUCUGGAGAUCCGGGGGGGGCAUGGAGUUGGUCUGUCUUGGCCAAUCCAGAGACUUGGAAAUUUUUCAUUCAGGACGACUAGAAGGACAAAGGCCCAAUGAGGGGGAACACCGUCCUGCGGAAAAAUUAUAUCGGGUUGCAAGUCUUCAAUCUGUGGGAAGGCGAAUCCCAACAUGGUCAUGUUAAUUGUUGAGGUUACUGUUUCUUCUGCAAAGAAAAACGCAAACAUGCUGUGGAGGAAGAAUCUGAGGCCAGGAGAGCGAGUUCACAUAUCUAGUUCACAUAUCUACGAUGCAGGAGAGGACUCGCCUACUGUGUCUGGGCACCUCAGGGACGUGGCUGCGUGUCCCCCAUCGUGUCACAUCGCCAGUGUCCAUCUUCCCCAUCCAUUUUCCUCUGCAUUCUCUUGUAUAUUUGGGUUGUGUGAGGUGAGGGAGAAAGGAAAAGGCUGCUUUUCUUUUCUCCAUGCAUUACUUUUAUUAUAUUUUCAAGUCCUUGUUUUACUCUUCUUCCCUGAGUGAAUGAUGGCCAAGUCUUUUGUGUAAGAUUGAAUAAGAAUAUGUGUUAUGGUUAAAUCUGCUCUUACAGUACCUAAAGAAAGCCUACACCCCCUCUCAAAAGUUUCACCUUUUGUUUCAUGAAAGCCUGGAAAUAAAUUUCAUUAAAUCAGACUUUUGUCCACCUUUAUUCACACAUCGUAACCCACAACUUCCAAGUGAAAAGCAAAUUCUACAAAUUUCAGAAAAUUAAUUUAAAAUACAAAACUAGAAUAUCUUGGUUGGAUACUUGGUGGAAGCAGCUUAGACAGCAAUUACACCUGUGAAUCUGUGAUGAUAGGUCUGCACCAACUUUGCACAACUUGAUUGGGCAAUAUUUUCCCAUUAUUCUGUACAAAACUGUUCAAGCUCAGUCAAGUUGUGUGGGCGUUGAUGGACAGCAAUCUUCAAGUCAUGACACAGAUUUUCAAUUGGAUUUAGUUUGGGGCUCUGACUGGGCCACUCAAGGACAUUUAUCUUUUUGCUGCUCAACCACUACAUUGUAAUUUUAGCUGUGUGCUUCGGGUCAUUGUCAUGCUGAAAGGUGAACUUCCAUCCCAAUUUCAGCUUUCUUGCAGAUGGCAGCAGGUCUUCCUGGAGGAUUUUUUCUGUAUUUUGCGCCAUCCAUUUUCCCUUCACUCAACCUGUCAUCCUUCUGAGGUCGGCAGAAUGAGUACCAGCUUGCUGGGAUGAUUGAGCUAUUUAAGUAUUCUGCAUCGGAUUGGCGACCUGUCCAGGAUUGAGCCCAAUAGCCCUGGAGACUGCUUCAGUAGCACCGAUGCUCUUUACAGAGUAUGGUCCCGAUGGAUGGAUGGAUUUUUACUUUUAUCCUCACAAGUGCCCCAGUCCCUGCUGAUGAGAAACAUCCUCAUCACAAGAUGCUGUCACCACCAUGCUUCACAUGAGGGAUGGUGUUCUUUGGGUAAUGUGCUGUGUUGGGUUUGUGCCAAACGUAACGUUUUGCAUUUAGGCCAAAAAGUUCCAUCUUGGUUUCAUCAGACCACACAUCUUUUACCACAUGGCUUCAGACGCUCCGGAAUGAUUUUUUGCAUUUCUCAAACGGGACUCAAGGUGGGCUUUUGUGAGUAAUAGAUUUCCUUCUUGCCACCGCACCAUACAGGCCAGACUUGUGGCAUGCUUGGGUUGUUUUCACAUGCACACAGUGACCAUUCCUUACCAUAACGGCAUGUAGCUCUUUCAAAGUUGCUAUUGACCUCUUGGUGGCCUCUCUGAUCAAUCUCCUCCUUACUUGGUCAUCCUGUUUGGAGGAACGGCCUGAUCUAGCAGGGUCUUGCUGUUACCAUAUGCCUUACACCUCUUAAUGGUUGUUUUGACUGUGUUCCAAGGGAUAUUCAAGCCCUUUGACAUGUUUUUAUACCCAUUUCUUGAUUUGUUCCUUUCCAAAACUUUAUCUUGGAGGUCUUUUGAAAGCUCCUUGGUGCUCAUGCUUGAGACUGUGCUGUGAAACGCACUACCCAGCAGAGGAAAACUACAGGAACAGCUGAUUUUAUUCUGAAAUAAUCAGAAUCACUACAAUUUAACACAGGUGGGGGGGGGGAAUUAACUUGGUGUGUGAUUUUGAAGGUAAUUGGUUACACCUGAGCUAACUUACAAUUGGUAUAAUAAGGGGGUGGACACUUAUCCAACCAAGGUAUUCUAGUUUUGUAUUUUUCAUUAAUUUCCUGAAAUUUGUGGAAUUUGUUUUUAUCUUGGAAGUUGUGGGUUAUGGCGUGUAAAUAAAGGUGGAAAAAGUCUGAUUUAAUGUAAUUUAAUUCCAGGCUAUGAGUCAACAAUGUCUGAAAUUUUUGAGAGAACAUUGGACUUUCUAUAGGCACUGUAUGUGCCUUUUUUUUGCUUUCUUGCUUGGAAAUACUUGCUUUUAAAUGAUUGCUUGCUUGUGUGUUUGCAAUAAAUAAUUGAUUGUUUUGAUUUCCAAUCUGUCUCGGUUGUCUUUUCCUUUAUUGGUCCGACACAGUGCACAAGUAUAGUUGGACGGGAAGUUGUUUGCUUUGUUCAGGAGCACACACUCACUGUGACGCUCGGCAGUAAUCCGAGUGUGUGCUGAGGGCACGUGACUUCUAUUAGCCAGCCGUCC
Molecule: long non-coding RNA, 3300 nt
Filed under: Eptatretus burgeri (inshore hagfish)
Lineage: Eukaryota; Metazoa; Chordata; Myxini; Myxiniformes; Myxinidae
Description: lncRNA (ENSEBUG00000017324.1)
Source: RNAcentral